This 464-nucleotide ribosomal RNA is filed under the name Vreelandella stevensii. RNAcentral describes it as "partial 16S ribosomal RNA". It matches the Rfam family "Bacterial small subunit ribosomal RNA", at positions 338 to 795 of the family's 1533-position model. Lineage: Bacteria; Pseudomonadati; Pseudomonadota; Gammaproteobacteria; Oceanospirillales; Halomonadaceae. The record is from RNAcentral.
CCUACGGGGGCUGCAGUGGGGAAUAUUGGACAAUGGGCGAAAGCCUGAUCCAGCCAUGCCGCGUGUGUGAAGAAGGCCUUCGGGUUGUAAAGCACUUUCAGUGGGGAAGAAAGCCUUGGGGCUAAUACCCUCGAGGAAGGACAUCACCCACAGAAGAAGCACCGGCUAACCCCGUGCCAGCAGCCGCGGUAAUACGGAGGGUGCGAGCGUUAAUCGGAAUUACUGGGCGUAAAGCGCGCGUAGGCGGUCUGAUAAGCCGGUUGUGAAAGCCCCGGGCUCAACCUGGGAACGGCAUCCGGAACUGUCAGGCUAGAGUGCAGGAGAGGAAGGUAGAAUUCCAGGUGUAGCGGUGAAAUGCGUAGAGAUCGGGAGGAAUACCAGUGGCGAAGGCGGCCUUCUGGACUGACACUGACGCUGAGGUGCGAAAGCGUGGGUAGCAAACAGGAUUAGAUACCCGAGUAGUC